CUAAAAGACUGCCGAAGACAGUAGGUGUCCGCAAGGACGUAAGCGUGAUGCGCGCCUACCGAGGAAGAAUAGAUUAGUACGUCAUGUAUGAAUUUCAACCUCUGUGUCUUUGACACGGAGGUUUUUUAUAU
Molecule: small RNA, 131 nt
Filed under: uncultured Lachnoclostridium sp.
Lineage: Bacteria; Bacillati; Bacillota; Clostridia; Lachnospirales; Lachnospiraceae
Description: Ribosomal protein L10 leader
Rfam family: Ribosomal protein L10 leader
About the family: This family is a putative r-protein leader autoregulatory structure found in B. subtilis and other low-GC Gram-positive bacteria. It is located in the 5' untranslated regions of mRNAs encoding ribosomal proteins L10 and L12 (rplJ-rplL). A Rho-independent transcription terminator structure that is probably involved in regulation is included at the 3' end.
Source: RNAcentral